UCAGGAUGAACGCUGCGGCGUGCUAAUACAUGCAAGUCGAACGAAGCACCUGCGACGGAUCCCUUCGGGGUGAAGAUGCUUGUGACUGAGUGGCGGACGGGUGAGUAACGCGUGGGUAACCUGCCUUAUGCAGGGGGACAACAGUUGGAAACGACUGCUAAUACCGCAUAAGCGCACGGCACCGCAUGGUGCAGUGUGAAAAGAUUUAUCGGCAUAAGAUGGGACCCGCGUCUGAUUAGGUAGUUGGUGAGGUAACGGCCCACCAAGCCGACGAUCAGUAGCCGACUUGAGAGAGUGAUCGGCCACAUUGGGACUGAGACACGGCCCAGACUCCUACGGGAGGCAGCAGUAGGGAAUAUUGCACAAUGGGGGGAACCCUGAUGCAAGCGACGCCGCGUGAGUGAUGAAGUAUUUCGGUACGUAAAGCUCUAUCAGCAGGGAAGAUAAUGACGGUACCUGACUAAGAAGCCCCGGCUAACUACGUGCCAGCCGCCGC
RNAcentral lists this ribosomal RNA (496 nucleotides) under uncultured bacterium. Its description in RNAcentral is "bacterial SSU rRNA". It matches the Rfam family "Bacterial small subunit ribosomal RNA", at positions 24 to 518 of the family's 1533-position model. The record is from RNAcentral.